GUGGGGAAUAUUGGACAAUGGGCGAAAGCCUGAUCCAGCCAUGCCGCGUGUGUGAAGAAGGUCUUCGGAUUGUAAAGCACUUUAAGUUGGGAGGAAGGGCAGUAAGUUAAUACCUUGCUGUUUUGACGUUACCGACAGAAUAAGCACCGGCUAACUUCGUGCCAGCAGCCGCGGUAAUACGAAGGGUGCAAGCGUUAAUCGGAAUUACUGGGCGUAAAGCGCGCGUAGGUGGUUUUGUAAGGUGGAGGUGAAAUCCCCGGGCUCAACCUGGGAACUGCCUCCAAAACUGCAUGACUAGAGUACGGUAGAGGGUAGUGGAAUUUCCUGUGUAGCGGUGAAAUGCGUAGAUAUAGGAAGGAACACCAGUGGCGAAGGCGACUACCUGGACUGAUACUGACACUGAGGUGCGAAAGCGUGGGGAGCAAACAGGAUUAGAUACCCUUGUAGUCC
This 450-nucleotide ribosomal RNA is filed under the name uncultured bacterium. RNAcentral's name for it is "partial 16S ribosomal RNA". It matches the Rfam family "Bacterial small subunit ribosomal RNA", at positions 354 to 796 of the family's 1533-position model. The record is from RNAcentral.